RNAcentral lists this ribosomal RNA (677 nucleotides) under uncultured Fibrobacter sp. Its description in RNAcentral is "bacterial SSU rRNA". It matches the Rfam family "Bacterial small subunit ribosomal RNA", at positions 163 to 845 of the family's 1533-position model. The record is from RNAcentral. Lineage: Bacteria; Pseudomonadati; Fibrobacterota; Fibrobacteria; Fibrobacterales; Fibrobacteraceae.
UUAAUGUCCAGGAGCGUGGCCUUCCGCAUGGGAGGUUGACAAGAGAUUUAUCGGUAUGGGAUGAGCUUGCGUCCGAUUAGCUAGUUGGCGGGGCAACGGCCCACCAAGGCGACGAUCGGUAGCCGGCCUGAGAGGGUGAUCGGCCACAUUGGGACUGAGAUACGGCCCAGACUCCUACGGGAGGCAGCAGUAGGGAAUAUUGCACAAUGGGGGAAACCCUGAUGCAGCAACGCCACGUGUGGGAAGAAGCAUUUCGGUGUGUAAACCACUGUCGUGAGGGAAUAAGGCGUCUUCUCGGAGACGUUGAAUGUACCUCGAAAGGAAGCACCGGCAAACUUCGUGCCAGCAGCCGCGGUAAUACGAGGGGUGCAAGCGUUGUUCGGAAUCACUGGGCGUAAAGGGAGCGUAGGCGGAGAUGCAAGCGGACUGUACAAUACCGGGGCCCAACCCCGGGCCUGCAGUUCGGACUGCACCUCUUGGAUAGUUCAGGGGCAGGCGGAAUUCCUGGUGUAGCGGUGGAAUGCGUAGAGAUCAGGAAGAACACCGAUGGCGAAGGCAGCUUGCUGGGGACUAAUCGACGCUCAUGCUCGAAAGUGCGGGUAGCAAACAGGAUUAGAUACCCUGGUAGUCCGCACCGUAAACGAUGCAUACUGGGUGUCCGCGGUUCGCCGCGGGUA